This 238-nucleotide ribosomal RNA is filed under the name uncultured bacterium. RNAcentral describes it as "partial 16S ribosomal RNA". It matches the Rfam family "Bacterial small subunit ribosomal RNA", at positions 96 to 334 of the family's 1533-position model. The record is from RNAcentral.
CGGCGGACGGGUGAGUAACGCGUGGGUAACCUGCCUCAUACAGGGGGAUAACAGUUGGAAACGGCUGCUAAUACCGCAUAAGCGCACAGUACCGCAUGGUACGGUGUGAAAAACUUCGGUGGUAUGAGAUGGACCCGCGUCUGAUUAGGUAGUUGGUGGGGUAACGGCCUACCAAGCCGACGAUCAGUAGCCGACCUGAGAGGGUGACCGGCCACAUUGGGACUGAGACACGGCCCAA